RNAcentral lists this ribosomal RNA (253 nucleotides) under uncultured bacterium. RNAcentral describes it as "partial 16S ribosomal RNA". It matches the Rfam family "Bacterial small subunit ribosomal RNA", at positions 524 to 776 of the family's 1533-position model. The record is from RNAcentral.
UACAGAGGUCCCAAGCGUUGUUCGGAGUUACUGGGCGUAAAGGGUGCGUAGGCGGCCUUAUAAGUAUGGUGUGAAAUCUCCCGGCUUAACUGGGAGGGUGCGCUAUAGACUGUGGGGCUAGAGUGUGGGAGAGGAAAGUGAAAUUCCUGGUGUAGCGGUGAAAUGCGUAGAUAUCAGGAGGAACACCGGUGGUGUAAACGGCUUUCUGGACCAUAACUGACGCUGAGGCACGAAAGCGUGGGUAGCAAACAGG